UGGCCUACGGAGGCAGCAGUGGGGGAUAUUGCACAAUGGGGGGAACCCUGAUGCAGCGACGCCGCGUGGGUGAAGAAGCGCCUCGGCGCGUAAAGCCCUGUCAGCAGGGAAGAAAAUGACGGUACCUGAAGAAGAAGCCCCGGCUAACUACGUGCCAGCAGCCGCGGUAAUGCGUAGGGGGCAAGCGUUAUCCGGAUUUACUGGGUGUAAAGGGGGCGCAGACGGCAGAGCAAGUCUGAAGUGAAAGCCCGCGGCCCAACUGCGGGACUGCUUUGGAAACUGCCCGGCUAGAGUGCUGGAGAGGG
Molecule: ribosomal RNA, 305 nt
Filed under: uncultured bacterium
Lineage: Bacteria
Description: bacterial SSU rRNA
Rfam family: Bacterial small subunit ribosomal RNA
Source: RNAcentral